Molecule: ribosomal RNA, 674 nt
Filed under: uncultured bacterium
Lineage: Bacteria
Description: bacterial SSU rRNA
Rfam family: Bacterial small subunit ribosomal RNA
Source: RNAcentral
UUGAGCGGAGGUAGAUGGAGCUUGCUCUAUGUACCUUAGCAGCGAACGGGUGAGUAACACGUAGAUAAUCUGUCCUAUAUUGGGGGAUAGCCCGAUGAAAGUUGGAUUAAUACCGCAUACAGCUAUAUAGUUGCAUGAUUAUAUAGUGAAAGAUUUAUUGAUAUAGGAGGAGUCUGCGGCACAUUAGCUAGUAGGUGAGGUAAGAGCUUACCUAGGCGACGAUGUGUAGCCGGUCUGAGAGGAUGAACGGCCACAAUGGAACUGAGACACGGUCCAUACUCCUACGGGAGGCAGCAGUGGGGAAUAUUGCACAAUGGGGGAAACCCUGAUGCAGCAACGCCGCGUGAGUGAAGAAGGUUUUCGGAUUGUAAAGCUCUGUUAGCAGGGAAGAGGAAGGACGGUACCUGCAGAGGAAGCCACGGCUAACUACGUGCCAGCAGCCGCGGUAAUACGUAGGUGGCAAGCGUUGUUCGGAAUAACUGGGCGUAAAGGAUGCGUAGGCGGUUAAAUAAGUUAUAUGUUAAAUAUAUAGGCUUAACCUGUAGAAAGCAUAUAAAACUGUUUAACUAGAGUGCAGGAGAGGUAAGUGGAAUUCCUAGUGUAGCGGUGAAAUGCGUAGAGAUUAGGAAGAACACCAGUGGCGAAGGCGACUUACUGGACUGUAACUGACGCUG